Molecule: non-coding RNA, 1627 nt
Organism: Ictidomys tridecemlineatus (thirteen-lined ground squirrel)
Lineage: Eukaryota; Metazoa; Chordata; Mammalia; Rodentia; Sciuridae
Source: RefSeq, a predicted model, not a curated record
GGUCCUAAAUCUUGCUCCUGGCCAGGAAGUUACUGGCGAGUGGCCUGUGUCUGGGGCUCUAAAGAAACAACGCUGCGGAGCCUGGAGCUGAGGAGAAGCACUGAGCGAGCGUGGUUGGGCGGAAAUGCUGUGCCUGAGCCUCUCCCCGCCCAAGUUCUUUCUCUUCCUGGCAAGGCUUGCAGGUCUGCCUUUGAAACGCUGUGUAAACGGAUUGAGUCACAAACAGUCCGCAAACAUGCCGGGUCCUCUCCCCGCCCUUUGUUCUCCAAGACCUGCCCAGCAAACCUUUUCUAGAAUUGCCCUAACACCCCAGGGCAAGCCAGGGAGCCUCCCUCCGGAACCACAGCCAGAGGACUGGGGACCUUCGGCCCCGCCCGCCGGCUGCACCCUAAUCUGUGAAGUACUAAACUGGCCCAGGUGAGCCGAGGACCUAGCGGGGCGCUGAGAGCCAGGGAAACUGAGGGAUUCCCUGUGCUGCUCAGGAGCACCCGUACUGCGCGGGCCUGAAGAGGGGGCGUGGCCCGAAGUGGCCUUGGCCUCUCCUUGCCCAGGGUCAGUCCCCUCACCCCACUUCCACGCUUUUCUUCCCACAUCUGGGAUCUGUGGGGUUUCCAGAGCACCCAGUCAACGCCCCCUCCCCUAUAACCGCUCCUCCUCACCAGCCCCUCGCACAGCGCCCAGAGGAGCAGGAAGCCGGCAUAUGUCAGGCUCCACACGAGGCUGCUCGGGGUGUCAUUUUUCAUUUCUCAGAAGGACAUUUCUUCUGGUGAGCCGGGAGGUCUAUUUUGUUGUGACCUUUAAUUAACACCCCGCGAGACACCUCCUGAAGGACCAGCCCAGCGCUGGGAUCACGUGAGGUGUAAUGGCAUCUCCAAGCUCCCAGGAGAGACCGGGUCUGGAGAUAGGCGAGGAGCAAAGGACUUCUAGGGCUUUCCAGUCGGGGGCUUGGUUCUGAGAUAUGGGUGAGGCAGGAGGGGGCAGAAAGAGAAUAAUUGGGGGUAGUGGAACCCUGGGUAACGCCCCCCACCCCAUUUUCCUGGGGGAAAAAAUCUUUUUUGUCCUCUCUGGUGCUGCUAUCCCCCCUACAUCCCCUGGGCUGCAGCCUUUGCCUGGGAAUAUGUCACAGCUACCAAGGGGAGGUAAGAAGGGCAAAAUAAAGAUGUUGAGAACAGUGUGGAAGUUUCCAUUACGUUCCUACUUCCCAUUUAAAAGCGAUCAUAUCAGUAGAGGACCUUAGGGGGAUAGGUACACCUCCAGGCAGCACAGGCCAGCUCCAGCCAAAUCUGUAUUCCACAUAGGUGCAGCGGAAUAUAUCGUUGCCAUUAGCUAAGGGCUGCUUAUCAGCCGGAAAGCAGCGUGUGGCCAGGUGAAAUGGACGAGCCAGUGAAGACACGGGUGGGAAGAAAUUUGACUGAUGUUUCUGUAUAUGAUUUUCUACAUUUAUCCUGCUUAGGUCUGCUGAAUUUCUAGGACCUAUAAGUUGAUUGUGCUAGAGAUAGAACCCAGGACCAAGUGCACUACCACUGAACUACAUCCCUGUCCCUAAUCCUAAUGCUUUUCUGAAUUCCAACAUUUGACUCAUUUGGGAACCACUUUCAAUAAAAUGAUUUUUCUCUUUGACUCUGAA